This 90-nucleotide transfer RNA is filed under the name Candidatus Komeilibacteria bacterium CG10_big_fil_rev_8_21_14_0_10_41_13. RNAcentral's name for it is "tRNA-Ser". It matches the Rfam family "tRNA". Rfam says of the family: Transfer RNA (tRNA) molecules are approximately 80 nucleotides in length. Their secondary structure includes four short double-helical elements and three loops (D, anti-codon, and T loops). Further hydrogen bonds mediate the characteristic L-shaped molecular structure. tRNAs have two regions of fundamental functional importance: the anti-codon, which is responsible for specific mRNA codon recognition, and the 3' end, to which the tRNAs corresponding amino acid is attached (by aminoacyl-tRNA synthetases). tRNAs cope with the degeneracy of the genetic code in two manners: having more than one tRNA (with a specific anti-codon) for a particular amino acid; and 'wobble' base-pairing, i.e. permitting non-standard base-pairing at the 3rd anti-codon position. The record is from RNAcentral. Lineage: Bacteria; Candidatus Komeiliibacteriota.
GGAGGCGUGCUAGAGUGGUUGAAUAGGACAGUCUUGAAAACUGUUAGGCCUUUACGGGUCUCGGGGGUUCGAAUCCCUCCGCCUCCGCCA